AAAAACAUCGCCUCUUGAAAAAAUAUAAGAGGUCCAGCCUGCCCAGUGACAAAGUUAAACGGCCGCGGUACCCUAACCGUGCGAAGGUAGCGCAAUCACUUGUUCUUUAAAUGAGGACUAGUAUGAAUGGCAUCACGAGGGUUAUACUGUCUCCCUUUUCCAAUCAAUGAAACUGACCUCCCCGUGAAGAGGCGGGGAUGACACUAUAAGACGAGAAGACCCCAUGGAGCUUAAAACUCAGUACCAAUUACCUAAACCACAUUUCAUCUUAACCAGGUAAUUAUGGUCCCUAGUUUUCGGUUGGGGUGACCGCGGAGUAAAAUGAAACCUCCACGAUGAACGGACCAACGCUCCUAAUCAUAGAGCCACAGCUCAAAGAAUCAAAAAAUUGACAAAAAUUGAUCCAAUUAAUUUUGAUCAACGAACCAAGUUACCCUGGGGAUAACAGCGCAAUCCACUUCAAGAGCUCCUAUCGACAAGUGGGUUUACGACCUCGAUGUUGGAUCAGGGUAUCCCAGUGGUGCAGCCGCUACUAAAGGUUCGUUUGUUCAACGAUUAAAACCCUACGUGAUCUGAGUUC
RNAcentral lists this ribosomal RNA (580 nucleotides) under Kaloula picta. RNAcentral's name for it is "partial 16S ribosomal RNA". It matches the Rfam family "Bacterial large subunit ribosomal RNA", at positions 1809 to 2612 of the family's 2925-position model. Lineage: Eukaryota; Metazoa; Chordata; Amphibia; Anura; Microhylidae. The record is from RNAcentral.